CCCUUAGAUGUUCUGGGCCGCACGCGUGCUACACUGAGUGGAUCAGCGGGUCAGGUUACGCGAGAGCGUUUCCUAAUCUUCAAAUCCGCUCGUGAUGGGGAUUGACGGUUGCAAUUUUCCGUCAUGAACGAGGAAUACCUUGUAAGCGCGGGUCAUCAUCCCGCGCUGAAUACGUCCCUGCCCUUUGUACACACCGCCCGUCGCUCCUACCGAUUGAGUGGUCCGGUGAGGCUUUGGGAUCUAAGCGAAAAGAGCGUUUCGCCCCUUUUGCUGGGAGAACUCAGUCGAACCUUAUCAUUUAGAGGAAGGAGAAGUCGUAACA
Molecule: ribosomal RNA, 322 nt
Filed under: uncultured eukaryote
Lineage: Eukaryota
Description: partial 18S ribosomal RNA
Rfam family: Eukaryotic small subunit ribosomal RNA
Source: RNAcentral